Molecule: transfer RNA, 74 nt
Filed under: Schistosoma mansoni
Lineage: Eukaryota; Metazoa; Platyhelminthes; Trematoda; Strigeidida; Schistosomatidae
Rfam family: tRNA
About the family: Transfer RNA (tRNA) molecules are approximately 80 nucleotides in length. Their secondary structure includes four short double-helical elements and three loops (D, anti-codon, and T loops).
Source: Rfam by way of RNAcentral
GGCUCCGUAGCUCAGUUGGUUAGAGCGUCGUGCUGAUAAUGCGAAUGUUGAGGAUUCGAUCCCCUCCGGAGCCA